GAAAUGCGAUAACUAAUGUGAAUUGCAGAAUUCAGUGAAUCAUCGAGUCUUUGAACGCACAUUGCGCCCCCUGGUAUUCCGGGGGGCAUGCCUGUCCGAGCGUCAUUGCUGCCCUCAAGCCCGGCUUGUGUGUUGGGUCCUCGUCCCCCGGCUCCGGGGGACGGGCCCGAAAGGCAGCGGCGGCACCGCGUCCGGUCCUCGAGCGUAUGGGGCUUUGUCUUCCGCUCUGCAGGCCCGGCCGGCGCCCGCCGGCGCAAUUUUUUGCAACCUUUUAUUUUUCCAGGUUGACCUCGGAUCAGGUAGGGAUACCCGCUGAACUUAA
Molecule: unclassified non-coding RNA, 322 nt
Filed under: uncultured Aspergillus
Lineage: Eukaryota; Fungi; Ascomycota; Eurotiomycetes; Eurotiales; Aspergillaceae
Description: sequence contains ITS1
Rfam family: 5.8S ribosomal RNA (bases 1-105)
Source: RNAcentral